AAAAAUUUGUAUGAGACCCUUAAUCCCAUCAAUCCAAACAGUGCAAUGAACUACGUUUUUCUUUUGUAUAAGAAAGAGAGAAGCAAGUCUUGAAACUUAGACUAAACACCCUCUCACAGUUGAGCCAAAGAUGCAGGGUAUGUAAAAGAAAAGAGAGCAAACUACAGAUAGUAUCCCUUGUAAGAAAAGUUACCCAAGCCCACUGUUUCAGCAUUCUCUCCUUUUUUAUUUGUCAAGCCCUCCCAUCCAUCCACACCUCAUUUUCCAUCCACUGCGACUUCAGUUGUUGCCGCUACGCACUCCCUACCUCUCUCUCUCUCUCUCUCUCUCUCUCUC
This is a long non-coding RNA of Theobroma umbraticum, 336 nucleotides long. RefSeq lists it as uncharacterized. NCBI's taxonomy places the organism in Eukaryota, Viridiplantae, Streptophyta, Magnoliopsida, Malvales, Malvaceae. The record is from RefSeq and is a predicted model, not a curated record.